RNAcentral lists this microRNA precursor (198 nucleotides) under Oryza glumipatula. RNAcentral's name for it is "MIR812 microRNA precursor family". It matches the Rfam family "MIR812 microRNA precursor family". The record is from Rfam by way of RNAcentral. Lineage: Eukaryota; Viridiplantae; Streptophyta; Magnoliopsida; Poales; Poaceae.
AAAGACUGCAGUUUUGCAUUGUUUGUAUUCAACGUUUUCCAUCCUUCUUAUUUGUAAAAACUUUUAUAAUUAGUAUUUUUAUUGUUAUUAUAUGUAAAACAUGAAAAGUACUCUAUGUAGAACUAAUUUUUUAUAUUUUUUUAAUAAGACGGACAAUCAAACAAACGGUGGACACGAAAACACAUGAUUACACUUAAA